Triticum dicoccoides is the source of this 835-nucleotide long non-coding RNA. RefSeq lists it as uncharacterized. The record is from RefSeq and is a predicted model, not a curated record. NCBI's taxonomy places the organism in Eukaryota, Viridiplantae, Streptophyta, Magnoliopsida, Poales, Poaceae. The transcript is spliced from 5 exons.
GGGUGUUCAAAAUCAGGCAAUCAGCUGAACAGGGUGAAGAUUGGAACAAAUGGGACGCACUUCACCAUUGAUCUAUUGUGAUUCCUUUUCCCCUUUAAUAACGUGUACGUAUAGGGUAGUCAAGCACCACAGGAUAUCAGCUUUUUUUGUGGAUGAGAGUGGGAUGAUCAAUCGGAUUGCCGGGGUAGUACAACAUUGAGUCAUUGGCAGUUGGGCUCAACAAGGACAAGGCGCUGUUCACCAUAGGGGUAUUAGGAACAGAGAAAAUACUCACACAAGGCAUGGAGCAGCUACAAACUUGUUAAUGUUAUACCGCGAGCAGCUUCCCUUGCGCCGUCAUCCAUCCACCAACAAGCCCAUGACCAUGCAUCAGUGUUGUCUUCAGAAUUAUAGACACCUCAUUCUAUAAGGAGGCCGCCACCAAGAAGAGCGAGGUUGUGUCAAUGGACUCAGCGACAAGUUGUAGAAAGAAACAAGGCUUAUGUUAGGCAAAGUUGAUUAGGUUGUACUACACACCGCGUGCCUCCAUAAGAAUCUAGAUAAAAUGCCAUAAAAGACUGUUCUAGAUAAGAUGAUGGCUAUCAAUGUGAGCGACUGAGCUUUUAUGUCCAGAAAAUGCUCACUAAUAAAAUCUGGAAUGUCUUAUGUUUCUCAUCUUUUCUCUUCAUUUGUAUGGUUAAAGUUUGGCUUCAAACCAACAAAUAGUUAAUAUUAAAUUAAGUUAUUUUCCCGCUCCCCUCUUCAGUUGGCAAACCCAUCAAGGAAUUGUUGUAAUGAAUAUAUUUUAUAUGGUUACAUCCACAAGAGGAAGAGAUCUUAAAUGCUAUAGCAUACG